RNAcentral lists this long non-coding RNA (832 nucleotides) under Androctonus crassicauda. The record is from RNAcentral. Lineage: Eukaryota; Metazoa; Arthropoda; Arachnida; Scorpiones; Buthidae.
UUUUAUGUAAUAAUUGAGAAAACUGAAUCUUUUCCUUUAAAAAGGAUAGUAUAAGUUUGUCGUAGCUCGUAGUAAAUUCAUUUAAAAGUUCUCCUUGCAGCGCUUAUCUUCGCUUCUUUAACGACUUAAAAGUUCUCUUUAGGGAUUAAGUAAAGCAGGGAUAUAUUUUUUUUUUACCUCUCUGCAAGCGUUAAUGACCGAGAUAUGUCUUUUCCAAAGUUCCAACUGAGAACAUUGCGUUCUAAUGCCUUCUUCUAAAUCUGCGAAUGAAUUGGUUGAUGCGAGUUUGGUCUUCCGAGAUCUUUCCAUCUUCUAAACAUCUUACAGGGUUUUGUAUUCUGUGUUAUCUCUUUUAUCUUAUCUUUAAGGCAUAUCGAUUAUCCAGGGAGUAAGAAAACAACACCAAAAAGAAAAAAAAUCCUGAUUUUUCCAGAGUUUUCAAAUGAUAAAUUUCUAAUUCCACAGUACUAGAAGCUGAUAAAUAGGUUUUCUUCUCGCGUUACCAAAAGGAUAAGAGAUUAAUGCUUAUUUAAAUUUUUUUUCUUUUUUUCUUUCCUCCCCUGGAUAAUAUAUCCACCAGUGAAAAUAUCUCGCAGCGAAUUUUAUAAAAUUAUAGAAAAUUUCGCGCUAGAUGUGCGAAAAUCCCAGGAGAAGAACUUAUUUAUUUUAUAGAAAGGAAUUUAGAAAUAGUGAAAAAAUAAAAAAAAAAAUGUUGAUGAAAUCACGUAUUUACAGAAAGUUGAAUUCGUAUAUAAGGGAAUUUCUCGUAAAAAUGUCGGAAAUAUGCAAAUAUAUUUGCAAAAUAAUUUGCAGAAAAAAUUUUAAAAAAGAG